AACACAUACAAAUUUCUGUUUAUAUCCAAAACACAUUUGUAGUUUUGGACUAUAACAAACUAUACCUAUCCAUCCAUGUAGCAUCUACAUAUAUGUCUUAUGCUACAUAAACUCUUGCUUGAACACGCACACACACACACGCACACACACACACUCAAAAUAAGUAUUAUAGGCAAAUAACUGUUAUACUUUUUGAGGGACCUAUAGCCAGAGUUUUGGCCUAAUUAUUUUUCAGAUUCAAAAAAAUAUAUGGUAUUACCAAGGUUUUUACCAUAAUAAAAGUCCUAACAAGAUAUACUGUAUGUUGAUAAUCUUUUUAUCUUGAACUCUGAUGAAGAAGUAUACCAACUCUUAGAACUUUUUUCAGCUCAGGCACUUGGGCUGACUUUGAUAUUGAAUCAGCUAUCAAGAGAAAUUGUCCAUUUUCUAGAUGUAAACAUCAAAGUCUUGAAUGAGAGUUAUAAUUUAUCUGUAUAUAGAAAAGCUGCCUACAUUCCCAUCUUUAUUCCAGUUUGAUCCAAUGACCCAUGAAGUAUAAGGAAGCAGCAAUGAGUCAUCUUAAGAAGAAUCUUUAUGUACUAUAGACUAAAGAACUCACUCACUAGGGAUUAAAAACAGGAAUAUAAUACCAUUAUUAAUCAUACUUGGAUUCCAUUUUCAUUUAAUGUUUCAUUAUUCCAUGCUUGGAUCCAAGAAUGAUUAAUAAUGGUGAAUAGCAUCAAAGAUAUUUGUUCAUCUUUAAUUGAUUUUGUUCAUGAGGACCUAUUUAGUAUGUGACAUAGCUCCCAAGUUGUUACCAGCAUCUGCAGAUAAUUCCAUGCAGAGACAGUUAAUGAAACUUACAAUUUAUGAGCCUUCAUUAAAGCACAUAAGAAGAUCUUUGAAUAAGAAAGCAGGAAUUGUGCCAUCUUACAGGAGAAUAAAAACUACCUAUUAUAUUCUUAGGAACGACAAAGAUAAACCCCUGCCAAAUUCUUUUUUCAGUAUAUACAUAAUACAAACACAGAAUAUAGAUAUUAAUAGAAUUGCAGAAUAUAUUUGCAUCAAAUGAGGUACCUGAAAAGUAGACUCAGGGAGCACAUGAAAGACAUAGCAAAUGCAAUCUAAUAUGACUCUGGCAGGGACAUUUUGUAAAGCAUCCUUUGAAGUCCACUGAAGUAAAGCAAGG
This 1168-nucleotide long non-coding RNA is filed under the name Androctonus crassicauda. Lineage: Eukaryota; Metazoa; Arthropoda; Arachnida; Scorpiones; Buthidae. The record is from RNAcentral.